CGGUAAUUCCAGCUCCAAUAGCGUAUACUACAGUUGUUGCAGUUAAAAAGCUCGUAGUUGGAUUUCUGCGGGGACGGAGCGGCCGGACGCAACUUGCGUCUCGAGCUAGCGCUUUCCCCGCAUCCUGCCGCGAACCGUGCUACCAUUAGUUUGGUGGCGCUGGGGAUCGGCUCGAUUACUUUGAGAAAAAUAGAGUGUUCAAAGCAGGCCACACGCCUUGAAUAAGUUAGCAUGGAAUAAUGACUAAGGACUUCGGUUCUAUUUUGUUGGUGUUCGGGACUGAAGUAAUGAUUGAUAGGGACAGUUGGGGCGGUCUGUAUUCCAAAGCGAGAGGUGAAAUUCUUAGACCUUCGGAAGACAAACAGCUGCGAAAGCGUUCCGCAAGGAUGUUCCCUUUGAUCAAGAACGAAAGUUGGGGGAUCGAAGACGAUCAGAUACCGUCGUAGUCUCAACUAUAAACUAUACCAGCUAGGGAUCGGUCAACGUUUAAUUAUUCGACUUGAUCGGCACCUUAUGAGAAAUCAAAGCAUCUGGGUUCCGGGGGGAGUAUGGUCGCAAGGCUGAAACUUAAAGGAAUUGACGGAAGGGCACCACCAGCCGUGGAGCCUGUGGCUUAAUUUGACUCAACACGGGAAAACUUACCAGGUCCAGACAUAGUAAGGAUUGACAGAUUGAUAGCUCUUUCUUGAUUCUGUGGGUGGUGGUGCAUGGCCGUUCUUAGUUGGUGGAGUGAUUUGUCUGGUUAAUUCCGUUAACGAACGAGACCCCAGCCUGCUAAAUAGCGCGGCUGAGCUUUGCUCGGUGCGAGCUUCUUAGAGGGACUAUGAUGCGCGAUAGCACAUGGAAGUUUGGGGCAAUAACAGGUCUGUGAUGCCCUUAGAUGUUCUGGGCCGCACACGGGCUACACAGGCGCCUGCAACGAGCAUAUCAGCUGGCCCGAGAGGGUCUUGGCUAAUCUUUUGAACCGGCGCCGUGCUUGGGAUUGACCUUUGCAAUUGUUGGUCAUGCAACGAGGAAUGCCUUGUAAACGCGAGUCAUCAGCUCGCAUUGAAUACGUCCCUGCCCUUUGUACACACCGCCCGUCGCUCCUACCGAUGAAUGUUCCGAUGAAAUUUUCGGAGAGCGCCAGAGAACGGGGCUCUGCCUUGCAGAUCUGGAGGCUCAAAGUCAUUUAAAUCUGAACAUUUCGAGGAAGGAGAAGUCGUAACAGAGGUAGCCG
This 1219-nucleotide ribosomal RNA is filed under the name uncultured Rhizaria. RNAcentral's name for it is "SSU rRNA". It matches the Rfam family "Eukaryotic small subunit ribosomal RNA", at positions 577 to 1805 of the family's 1831-position model. The record is from RNAcentral.